ACUCAGGAAACCUCUCCGGACAGAGCCCUUUUUGUCAACUGAGACCCUCCCAAGGCCUCUACUGCCCUCUGGGUCCAGCAGAGGGGGUGGAAGAGGGGCCACUCCCUCCCACCUAGAGCUUCUCCGAAUGACAAUCAGCUUGUGCCAGGAAGGAUCCAGGGCAGAGGAAACCACACCUCCCAGUGUCCCCACCCCCAGCUGCAGCCUCUUCCCCCUCGAGCACCCAUCCCUUCCACCAAGCCCUCCUGGUCCUGAACCCCUUCCCUGUAAAAGAGUGUCACACCACCACCUCCACCACCACCUCACCCUUCUAGCACUUCCUCAUCGCCACAGCCUGUGUCAUUGGCUCAGAUGCAGGUCUGCUCACCCCCAGAACAUGCCUCCCCUCCCAAGCCACACUGUGCACGAAGCGGGUGCAGGAGAAGGGUCGUGCCCCCGGUACAUGGGCUCCCCCUUUCCCAGCCCCUCACUGGGGCCUGGCUCAGUCUUCUCAACUCCGGGGAUCAGCCCUGGCGGGCAUGGAGUGGGGGGCAGGAAGAUGCCCUCCCCCUCCCCCAGGGAAGCCACUGAAGAAUGUUUACACGCCAAACAGAAUGUAACACCCUCCCCCACCUUUUCCCAGUCACUGCAUGGCCUCUGCCCAUACCCUGCCCCUGCCCACCCCCACCCUGACACCCUGGAAGCCACUGUCAUGAUUAGAUUGGGUCUUGGAAGGGAAGUAGCCAUCACACCAUUAAAAAGCCUGUGGACCUUU
Callorhinus ursinus (northern fur seal) is the source of this 754-nucleotide non-coding RNA. The record is from RefSeq and is a predicted model, not a curated record. NCBI's taxonomy places the organism in Eukaryota, Metazoa, Chordata, Mammalia, Carnivora, Otariidae.